Molecule: ribosomal RNA, 861 nt
Filed under: Enterobacter mori
Lineage: Bacteria; Pseudomonadati; Pseudomonadota; Gammaproteobacteria; Enterobacterales; Enterobacteriaceae
Description: bacterial SSU rRNA
Rfam family: Bacterial small subunit ribosomal RNA
Source: RNAcentral
GAGUGGCGGACGGGUGAGUAGUUUCUGGGAAACUGCCUGAUGAAGGGGGAUAACUACUGGAAACGGUAGCUGAUACCGCAUAACGUCGCCAGACCAAAGAGGGGGACCUUCGUGCCUCUUGCCCUCAUAUGUCCCCAGAUGGGAUUGUCUAGUAUGUGGGGUAACGGCUCACCUAGGCCACUAGCCCUAUGUGGUCUGAGAGGAUGACCACCCACUCUGAAACUGACACACGGCCCACACACCUACGGGAGGCAGCAGAGGGGAAUAUUGCACACUGGGCGCAAGCCUGAUGCACUCGUGCCGCGUGUAUGAAAAAGGCCUUCGGGUUGUAAAGUAUUUUCCGCGGGGAAGAAGGUGUUGAGGUUAAUAACCUCAGCUAUUGACUUUACCCGCAAAAGAAGCCCCGGCUAACUCCGUGCCAGCGCCCGCGGUAAUACAGAGGGUGCAAGCGUAAUGGGGAAUUACUGGUUGUAAAGCGCACGCAGGCGAUCUGUCAAGUCGGAUGUGAACAUCCCGGCCUCAACCUGGGAACUACAUUCGAAACUGGCAGGCUAGAGUCUUUGAGAGGGGGGUAGAAUUCCAGGUGUAGCGGUGAAAUGCGUAGAGCUCUGGAGGAAUACCGGUGGAAGAGGCGGCCCCCUGGACAAAGACUGACGCUCAGGUGCGAAAGCUUGGGGAGCAAACAGGAUUAGAUACCCAUGUAGUCCACGCCGUAAACGAUGUCGACUUGGAGGUUGUGCCCUUGAGGCCUGGCUUCCGGAGCUGACGCGUUAAGUCGACCAUCUGGGGAGUACGGCCGCAAGGUUAAGACUCAAAUGAAUUGACGGGGGCCCGCACACGCGGUGGAGCAUGUGGUAUAAU